UUUCAAAGAGUUGAAUUCAGCUUGGGGCAGAUUCCAUGUUCUGUUAAUUAAACUUUGGAGCACUGAAAUUGGCUAAGGAAGACGAUUAGAUAGAAAUAUUACUGUAUUCCUUUACCUCCCAGUAUACAUGC
RNAcentral lists this small nucleolar RNA (131 nucleotides) under Castor canadensis (American beaver). The record is from RNAcentral. Lineage: Eukaryota; Metazoa; Chordata; Mammalia; Rodentia; Castoridae.